Molecule: ribosomal RNA, 472 nt
Filed under: uncultured bacterium
Lineage: Bacteria
Description: bacterial SSU rRNA
Rfam family: Bacterial small subunit ribosomal RNA
Source: RNAcentral
UGGGGAAUAUUGGACAAUGGGCGCAAGCCUGAUCCAGCCAUGCCGCGUGUGUGAAGAAGGCCUUCGGGUUGUAAAGCACUUUUGUCCGGAAAGAAAAGCUUUGGGUUAAUACCCCGAAGUCAUGACGGUACCGGAAGAAUAAGCACCGGCUAACUUCGUGCCAGCAGCCGCGGUAAUACGAAGGGUGCAAGCGUUACUCGGAAUUACUGGGCGUAAAGCGUGCGUAGGUGGUUCGUUAAGUCUGAUGUGAAAGCCCUAGGCUCAACCUGGGAAUUGCAUUGGAUACUGGCGAGCUAGAGUGCGGUAGAGGAUGGUGGAAUUCCCGGUGUAGCAGUGAAAUGCGUAGAGAUCGGGAGGAACAUCUGUGGCGAAGGCGACCAUCUGGGCCAGCACUGACACUGAGGCACGAAAGCGUGGGGAGCAAACAGGAUUAGAUACCCGCGUAGUCCCUGAGCGGGCUGGCAAGGCGCAU